CUGUCUCUGUACUGUCUCAGUACUGUCUCUGUCUCAGUACUGUCUCAGUACUGUCUCUGUCUCUGUACUGUCUCAGUACUGUCUCUGUCUCUGUCUCAGUACUGUCUCAGUACUGUCUCUGUCUCAGUACUGUCUCUGUCUCAGUACUGUCUCUGUCUAAGUACUGUCUCAGUACUGUCUCAGUACGGUCUCUGUCUAAGUACGGUCUCUGUCUCAGUACUGUCUCAGUACUGUCUCUGUCUAAGUACUGUCUCAGUACUGUCUCUGUCUCAGUACUGUCUCAGUCUAAUCUCUGUCUCAGUACUGUCUCUGUCUAAGUACUGUCUCAGUACUGUCUCUGUCUCAUCUCUGUCUCUGUACUGUCUCUGUCUCUGUACGGUCUCUGUCUCUGUACGGUCUCUGUCUAAGUACGGUCUCUGUCUAAGUACUGUCUCUGUCUCAGUACUGUCUCUGUACUGUCUCUGUCUCAGUACUGUCUCUGUCUCUGUACGGUCUCUGUCUAAGUACUGUCUCUGUACUGUCUCUGUACUGUCUCUGUCUC
Gasterosteus aculeatus aculeatus (three-spined stickleback) is the source of this 541-nucleotide long non-coding RNA. Lineage: Eukaryota; Metazoa; Chordata; Actinopteri; Perciformes; Gasterosteidae. The record is from Ensembl.